UACGUAGGGUGCAAGCGUUGUCCGGAAUUAUUGGGCGUAAAGAGCUCGUAGGCGGUUUGUCGCGUCGAAUGUGAAAACCCGGGGCUCAACUCCGGGCCUGCAGUCGAUACGGGCUGGCUUGAGUGCGGUAGGGGAGACUGGAAUUCCUGGUGUAGCGGUGAAAUGCGCAGAUAUCAGGAGGAACACCGGUGGCGAAGGCGGGUCUCUGGGCCGAUACUGACGCUGAGGAGCGAAAGCGUGGGGAGCGAACAGG
RNAcentral lists this ribosomal RNA (253 nucleotides) under uncultured bacterium. Its description in RNAcentral is "partial 16S ribosomal RNA". It matches the Rfam family "Bacterial small subunit ribosomal RNA", at positions 524 to 776 of the family's 1533-position model. The record is from RNAcentral.